Molecule: transfer RNA, 90 nt
Filed under: Candidatus Taylorbacteria bacterium RIFCSPHIGHO2_02_FULL_44_12
Lineage: Bacteria; Candidatus Tayloriibacteriota
Also listed under: 1 other name
Description: tRNA-Ser
Rfam family: tRNA
About the family: Transfer RNA (tRNA) molecules are approximately 80 nucleotides in length.
Source: RNAcentral
GGAGACGUGGCUGAGCGGUCGAAAGCGGCACCGUGCUAAGGUGUUAGGGGAGUAAUCCUCUCGAGGGUUCGAAUCCCUCCGUCUCCGCCA